UGCACAUGAAUGACGUUUGGGCUGAAGCUCACUAGCUGGCUGGUGAAAUCAACCACCUUAGGUUCAUAACCAGGACAGGGUGACUGUUAAGAUUAAUUAACAUAGUCAUUAAGGGAUUAAUCCCUGCUUGUACUAACCGCAUGCAGUUGCAAACUGCUGCGCCGGUUCUCUGUUCAACAGGCACCGGUUCUCUGUUCAACAGGCACCUCCUCCGAACAAACACCUCUCUACUGGCGUCCCCUCCCUUGUAUAAAUAGCAGUUACCAUCCAAUAAAGAGGACACUUGAUUCAUUUUAUUGUAUGAACUUCUCUGCCGAUCUUUAUUUUAACACGUUGUCAGCACCUAGUUUCUACCGAAAGCAAAAUAGAUCAGAAUCGAAGGAGAAUCGAGUGACGGUGAGGAUGGCCGUCGCCGCUAUCUUAUUGCCGCUAUGAUGGUCACCACCACCAAGCGGGUCACCGCACCAAUGGAUUCGGCCCUGGUGCCGUUGCUCCUCAUCUCCCGCGCGCAGAUGAACAAGGGACUCGAUCCCUGGCUGGUGCGCGUGCCCCCACCUCCGCCGGUGCCCUCGGGCUCGCAAAUGAUGCCUCCAACGGCGUCGCUCCCGGCACCCACCUCCAACACUCUCGACAUCUGAGAAGAACAGGCGCUCCGGCGUCGCCUUCAUCGAGCACGGGCGCUCGCCGUCGAGCAGCCGCUCCGGUCGCUGGUCUUGACUGCGUCAGUAUGCGCCGGUGCCGUGGCCUCGCCGCCCGCGACUGUCGGUGGCCGCGCCUGACCUUGGUCGCGCAGGACCAUGGCGCCCGUGGCCGUCCGGACGCGCCCAGCGCGGCCGCCGCGCUAGUGGCCGCCCUGCAUGCCCUGUAUCCGUGGCCGCCCGUCCGCACGUGCCGCCGGAUCCCUCGCACACCGGCUCCGUCUAUGCCGACAGCGCCAGCCCCAUCUUCGCAGGCCACGACCGCUCAUAGCGCAACGGCUCGACACUCCCGUCAGCGGAGGUGACUCCCAGAGCGGAGCAUGGCUGAGGCACAACCACAGCCUCCAACACAAGGCGCCGUGAAGUGGCUUCGAUUCUUCGGACGCCAAGACGCAUGCGCGAAGGCGCGGCUCUCACCUGCGAGCCCCUUCCGUGCGCUGGAUAUGCUGGCGCCCGCUGCUGUGGACCUCAGCCAUCAACGAUGCGGCAGCCGGCUCGCCGAGCGACAACGCUCUCCGGCGCGGCCAUCACAUAGCGCAGCGGCCGCGUCCGGCGACCUGCGGGUCAAGGCACCGCGUGCGUGAGCCAAAUCUGUCUCUCGAUUGGUAAUCACACUAGGCAUUUGGAUAAGAAACCUUAUCCCUUCUCUUGUUUUGCAAUAUGAUACCUGUAUUUUCAGGAAUUAACAAAGCAGUCUGAUUUAGUGGUCCAGGCUAAUAUUUGCACGUCAUCCUUCAAUUUCGGGGAUUUCGUAAUUUGGUCAUCUUAACGGUGCUAUUUACUAGCAUGAAUCUGUUUUAGACCUAUUAAAUUCAGUACAUACUGUUCUGUUGAGUACCGAGCUGUAUUCCAGAUCUUAAGUUGAUGUAAUAUAUUUCCACGUUUAUCACGUGUUGAGAUUAAUUACAUCCAUUUGCAAUAGAGAUUUUAAAUCUCUUGUAAAGAUAAAUUCAGUACAUGUGCAGUACUAUUUCUCCGUUGAGUACGAGGUAUUCCGAAAUGUAUGUAUCUCCAUGUUCGUUACAUGUCGAGAUUAAUACUUUUAUUUGCAAUUGAGAUUUUUAAUUUCUUGCAAAUGGAACCAAUUUACCUUAAUUGAGCCUUUGGCUUGAUACAAGCAAGAAUUGAUAUGCAAAAUUCUAAGUGUUGUUUUUCAAAUUGAUGUUUUGGAAUCACAAGGUAGUGUGUAGAUCUACUACUUGUAGAUUAUCACCACUACUGUUAAAGCCUAUAUUUUGUCAUUCUGACAUUAUAAUUGCUUUACAAAGUGCUCUCCCACACAUUUUACUAAGUCAUGACAUAAGGCAUUACAAGUGAAUAUCUACUGAUUUCAUCAGAUUAUACUCCCUAGUGUUGUGAGAUCUACUCCAUUUUGGAGAUUAUCUUCAAGGUGUCAUACUUAGCAAUUUGAGAUUCACACUAAUGGUUUCAAGAUAACUUCUUGAAAUACCCAUUGAUUUUGCUAAGUUCAUUACAACAUCAACCAUGAUGGUCUUUAAUUUACUGAUUGUAAAUUAAUUAUCUCCGGUUUACCCUUAGAGGUAACAUAUGGUUAUAGAAUUUGAGGCAUUCGCCCUCGAUGGCCACCAUUGCCAGCCCUAUCUGGUCCAUGGACAUCAAUGAUCGUUCUUGUGUCUCGUGGGAUAAUGUGUGCAAUAGAGGAUUCACUUCAGCAAUUUCUGGGAUACAAUGAACUCAGGGGCAAAAGUUUGAAGCUCACUUCAACCUUUAACCCGACAUCACCAGUGAUGACGGGAUCCUAUGGGCAUGGAGAAUGUGUGGUUGAAUAUGCCUCAACUGACAUGUUUGGAGACUAUGAGUAGUCUCUCAGUCUCCUAAAUAUUUUUGUCAUCAUAUAUUGUGUAUCACAAUAUAUUGUAUCAGCACUUUGGUACAAAUACAUUUAUAUGUAUUAUAUAUAUCUGACAGUGAUUUCCAUAUUGAAAAUCUUCAUGUCUAUAUAUAUAGAUUUCUACGGGAGUCAAUCCAACUAAAGAUGACAUGUGCCUUGUGGACAUAUGCACCACAAACUCUAUACUCAUGGAAGUCCAAUGUUUUCACUCUCGUUGAGAGAAAGAAGACAUUUCAAAAUCGCUAGACGCGAUGAGGUAUUGGUUGGCUCAACUUGAGUCAUAUUUACUAUCCCCGUGGGUACUCGAGUAAUGUUAGGAUGCUUUAUUGCUUCCUGGUUUAACUCGUACCCUACUAAACUAUAGUGGUAUCCGUCAAAAUAGUUUCCAUAACGAAACUUAUGAUGACAACAAAGAGAAAUAACUUCUCUUUAUCAUAUGCAAGAAUAAUUGAAAGCACAUUUUCUAUGUAUCAUCUGGAUUGUACUACACAUACGACACAACCCGUAGCACACCUUGCGUACGAGAUAGUUUUCCAGAGUGUCUUGUACAUGACAACCUUGGCAUUCUCGCCUUCGUCAUCGAGACAUUGGGUUGAAAGCAAAAAUAUCACCAAUUCCAAUAGUUUAUUAUUAUUAUGAUGCUAAAUUCUAACAGUAUUUGGAUUUUGUGCACACUACAUGUGACGCAAGGAAUCUAAUUUUAAGGCUCGUGUACCUUAAAGUCUAUGCUGAACCACUCAGACUCCUUGAAUGCAUCAAAUCGAGGUAAGUGGCUCUUCCCAUCCAUUGACUAGACCAUUCAGGUAUUCCAUGGUUCUAGAAGACAUAUCUAUAUGAUUGUCUCAAGUGUGAUUUAUCCACAUGAAACCAUUGGCUCAUUAUCCUCACAUCGAUUUCAAGCAAAUCGAAUGGAUAACAUAGCAAAUUCUCCUUGAGUACCUUCUCUAUGGUCCUUGGAUUGAAGUUUGCAUUUUUUCCUAAUGUCUAGACUCAAAAUGGUUUGGUAGAAUCCUUUAUCCAGAGAAUUAAGCUCAUUGCAUUAUCUUUACUUUGGAAUUGCAACUUACCAACUUUACGUGGGAGUCAUGCAGUUUUACACGCUCAUGACAGAACUGCAUAAUAUUAUUCCCCUCUAUCUUUGAUACGUGGAAAUCUAUCAAGUAUUUUCCAUCUGCGGUAAUUCGGUUGCAUACCGAUAUCAUCAUCCGGCAUACAUCAUUGGCCCCUCAACAUAUAGUUGGGAUCUAUGUGAGGAAUAACUGUAUUACCGUCAAUACCUCAAACCCCUCACAUGGGGAGUUAUUCAAGGCCAGUAUGCCGAUUCAAUGAGGAAUAUUUUCAGGCAUUAGGGGGAGAAUUCAAGUACCAUAAAGAAUGCCAGGAAAUUAGUGGAAUGUUCAACACAUUUCUGCCUCAAAUCCACGUACUCAAAGAUCUGAACCAUGCGUUCAGAAGAUUUGCAAUUCAUUGCAAAUUACCUGCCAGAUUCAUUUACUGCCUAUAAUGGUGUCACCCAAUCCCACAAUCCUGGCAAAGUACGCCUGAAAGAGUGGAGGUACCAACAAAAACCACUCCACUCCCCGUUCGAUGCAACAGGGGGAGAUGUAUGGCAAAAGUACAUCAGGAUUCAGCUUCUCGCAAGCAAGGAUAUCAAGGCCUAUGAAUCAGUAAAUGCAAGUCAACUUCAUGUUGACAGACACCUAAUGGGUACUAUACCCAGUGGAUGGGAAACCUCCACCAACCCAGGUCAUAGUGCACAUAAUGACCUGGACAUUGGAAUACCCGACUCAAUCGCAUUGAGAAAUCGCGAGUAGUCACCAUGGGUAACGAUAUUUCCAUCAACUCUAUAUUGAUAUAUAGAUUCUGGAGAAUCAUAUAAACGGAAGUCUACAAUUGUCGAUAUACAUUUCUCAACUAGAUUGCAAAACCUUUCACAUGAUUCAGGUCCAAAGACCAUGGCCAUGGCAUAGUGUGAACAACACUCGGACUGAACUCAAGCAAAGGAUAUAAUCUAGGUAGAAAUGAUCUUGCUCAAUAAUGGAAAGGUAUUCAUAAGCAAUACCUACACCAGUUUUCUUCUGAAAACAGAAUUGAGAACAAUGAGGUGGUGAAACAAAGAGCAAGUAUUGUAGCAUAGGGGUUCAUGCAGAUACCCAACUAUUCUCUAGAGGUGGAAUCUCUUUCCGAUAAUUUAUAUCAUUGGCAGUACAUAAUCAUCUAUCUCUGCAGUUGAUAGAUGUAGUGAUCACAUAUCCAUGUGGAUCACUAGAUUCAUACAUAUAUGAUUGAUUCCCAAUGGAAUCUCACCUCUGAAUCGAAAUGCAAAAUGCAACAUACAUUGUGUACAAAUCAGUAAGUCAUCAUAAGACUUAUUGUUGUCAGUACAUAUGGUACAACCGACAUAGUGAGAUCCUUGUACAAAAGGAUUACUCCUACAAUGAUGAUUAUCCAUGUUUGUGUGUCUGUAAUGACGACACAUGUAACCAUCCAAACGACGGAGUAUAAAAUGAAGGAUUUGGGUAAACCAAAAUACCGCUCGUUACUACAACUUGAGCACCUUCAUUCAUACAUUAUGGUAUACUAUGUUGUCUAUAUCCAUAAUAUAUUGGAGAAAUUCAUUGUGGACAAAUCUUAUCCAUCCAUAAACCCUCAUGGUAGUUCAUUCUCUAGAUGUAGAGAAAGAUCUAUUUAGACCAAGAGAUGAUGGAAAUGAGAUAUUGAGACUGAACGUUCCAUAAUGUCAUUGGAUCCACCAAACACAAUUGGUUGGUACUCAAGAAUAUUUUUCGAUAUCUCCAAGGCAUCAAACAUCUUGUCCUGGUUUUUCAGUUUCACAUAAAUGUGAACAUCGAUAUCAUUGGAUACAUCGAUCAGAUCCCCACUAUAUCAAGUCAUAGACAAACUUAGUGUUCCUACUAGGUGUGGUAGCCCUCUCAUGAAGAGUCUUCGAAACAGACCUCAUGGCGACAUCCACCAACCAUUAUCUCAAUGAUAAUGUUUCUUGUGUUGCCCGGAUGCAAACAUGUUAUAAUAAGCAAUAUCACUAUAUUGCAUAUCUUGCUAGUCAAAUCAUGCUACUGUUUUGUUCAUCGGGUCUCUACCAACUUCUAUGUUCCAGAAAUGUGUUCAUGGAAUUGGUAUGUGACAGCUUCGAAUUUUGCAAGAAUCAGGGGGAGUAUCUUCCUGAAUUGUUCAUGUUCAAUGCAUCAUAUUAUACUCUUUUUUCCUUCAUGAGUUUACUUUAUAGGUUCUCAUAAAGGUUUUUAAUGAGGUAAUAUCGACAUGAGAUCAUAUGUCAUACUUUCUGUUUUCCCCACUGGGGUUUUUAGGAAAGUAUAUACGACAUAUUUAUUGUCAUUUGAACUCUAUGGGUUUUCUCGUAUUGAGUUAAAAAUUAAUAAUAACCAUUAUAUGUUGCAUCAUUUUCUCCUUAUUUUUCCCAUUAGGUUUGAAGGAGUUUUGGCAACAUAUCAAUCAAUAUACUCCUCAUAUUUUUUCCACAGGGUUUUUAGAGGAGUCUCUUUCAAGAUGAUGAUGCUACCUGAACAAGCAUGGAUUAGGGGGAGUGUUAAGAUUAAUUAACAUAGUCAUUAAGGGAUUAAUCCCUGCUUGUACUAACCGCAUGCAGUUGCAAACUGCUGCGCCGGUUCUUUGUUCAACAGGCACCAGUUCUCUGUUCAAUAGGCACCUCCUCCGAACAAACACCUCUCUACUGGCGUCCCCUCCCUUGUAUAAAUAGCAGUUACCAUCCAAUAAAGAGGACACUUGAUUCAUUUUAUUGUAUGAACUUCUCUGCCGAUCUUUAUUUUAAUAGUGACAAUGGUGGUGGUGGUGUAGCUGUUAACUCGCACUUUGUCUAUGCUUUGAACUUGAUGUUAAUUAUACAAGUG
This 6440-nucleotide long non-coding RNA is filed under the name Hordeum vulgare. RNAcentral describes it as "long non-coding RNA (HVUL_LNC016642)". The record is from RNAcentral. Lineage: Eukaryota; Viridiplantae; Streptophyta; Magnoliopsida; Poales; Poaceae.